This 74-nucleotide transfer RNA is filed under the name Minisyncoccota bacterium. RNAcentral describes it as "tRNA-Gln". It matches the Rfam family "tRNA". From Rfam's summary of the family: Transfer RNA (tRNA) molecules are approximately 80 nucleotides in length. Their secondary structure includes four short double-helical elements and three loops (D, anti-codon, and T loops). Further hydrogen bonds mediate the characteristic L-shaped molecular structure. tRNAs have two regions of fundamental functional importance: the anti-codon, which is responsible for specific mRNA codon recognition, and the 3' end, to which the tRNAs corresponding amino acid is attached (by aminoacyl-tRNA synthetases). tRNAs cope with the degeneracy of the genetic code in two manners: having more than one tRNA (with a specific anti-codon) for a particular amino acid; and 'wobble' base-pairing, i.e. permitting non-standard base-pairing at the 3rd anti-codon position. The record is from RNAcentral. Lineage: Bacteria; Bacillati; Minisyncoccota.
UCCCGGGUGGUGAAAUGGCAUCACUACAGGCUCUGAACUUGUUGUUCUAGGUUCGAAUCCUAGCCCGGGAUCAA